This 334-nucleotide ribosomal RNA is filed under the name uncultured bacterium. RNAcentral's name for it is "partial 16S ribosomal RNA". It matches the Rfam family "Bacterial small subunit ribosomal RNA", at positions 338 to 669 of the family's 1533-position model. The record is from RNAcentral.
CCUACGGGUGGCAGCAGUGAGGAAUAUUGGUCAAUGGCCGUAAGGCUGAACCAGCCAAGUCGCGUGAAGGAAGAAGGAUCUAUGGUUUGUAAACUGCUUUUAUAGGGGAAGAAAGGUAGCCACGUGUGGAUAUUUGCAUGUACCCUAUGAAUAAGCAUCGGCUAACUCCGUGCCAGCAGCCGCGGUAAUACGGAGGAUGCGAGCGUUCUCCGGAUUUAUGGGGGUUAAAGGGUGCGUAGGUUGUUUUUUACGUCAGCGGUGAAAGUUUGUGGCUCAACCAUAAAAUUGCCGUUGAUACUGGUAGACUUGAGUGUGUUUGCGGUAGGCGGCAUGC